Molecule: ribosomal RNA, 506 nt
Filed under: Scutellospora dipurpurescens
Lineage: Eukaryota; Fungi; Glomeromycota; Glomeromycetes; Diversisporales; Gigasporaceae
Description: SSU rRNA
Rfam family: Eukaryotic small subunit ribosomal RNA
Source: RNAcentral
AGCAGCCGCGGUAAUUCCAGCUCCAAUAGCGUAUAUUAAAGUUGUUGCAGUUAAAAAGCUCGUAGUUGAAUUUCGGGGUUCUACGGUCGGUCGGGCUAACAAGUCUGUACUGGUGUGUAGAACUUCUACCUUCUGGGGAACUAUCAUGUUAUUAAUUUAGCGUGGUAGGAAACCAGGACCUUUACCUUGAAAAAAUUAGAGUGUUCAAAGCAGGCUUAAGUCUGAAUACAUUAGCAUGGAAUAAUAGAAUAGGACGGUGGUCCUGUUUUGUUGGUUUCUGAAUCACCGUAAUGAUUAAUAGGGAUAGUUGGGGGCAUUAGUAUUCAAUUGUCAGAGGUGAAAUUCUUGGAUUUAUUGAAGACUAACUUCUGCGAAAGCAUUUGCCAAGGAUGUUUUCAUUAAUCAAGAACGAAAGUUAGGGGAUCGAAGACGAUCAGAUACCGUCGUAGUCUUAACCAUAAACUAUGCCGACUAGGGAUCGGACGAUGUUAAAUUUUAUUGACUCG